Molecule: long non-coding RNA, 347 nt
Filed under: Androctonus crassicauda
Lineage: Eukaryota; Metazoa; Arthropoda; Arachnida; Scorpiones; Buthidae
Source: RNAcentral
CAUUAACACAACUGACUUUUUGUGUCAGUGCCAUGUAUAUUUCUGUCCUGUCAUUAACUUGUAAGCCCUAGUAACGGCUAAUCGUUUGUACAGCAACAGAAGUAAACCGAAGAUACUGGCUAAGACUGGAUUGAUUGUGGACUUUUGUACUGUAUUGCAAAAUCCGAUCUCUGUUUCUCUGGUGGUUGUGUAAAGGCUGAGGAAUUCCUACCAUGUGCAGUCUGUGGUCUGGGUGUUCACUGUAUCUCUGUCUGAUGCAUAAAGGUAGGCAGUCGCAGCCCGUGCUAAAUGCAAUAGUCCAGGUUCUUAAGUAUUUUUUUCAUUUCAAAUAAAUACCUACUAUUUAC